Molecule: ribosomal RNA, 870 nt
Filed under: Anoplophrya allolobophorae
Lineage: Eukaryota; Ciliophora; Oligohymenophorea; Astomatida; Anoplophryidae
Description: partial large subunit ribosomal RNA
Rfam family: Bacterial small subunit ribosomal RNA (bases 1-764)
Source: RNAcentral
AACGUUAUUCGUAGUUACUGGGCGUAUAGAAUAAAUAAGUAAAAAUCUAAACGAGUUUUGUUUAUUUUUAAAAAAUUAAUAAAUAUUUUUCAUUUUUCUAAUGUAAUGAUAAAAUAUAAUAACAUUAUAGGGGUUUCUUGUGAAUAAAUAAAUAUUAAUUUAUAUUGAAUUAUGAAGGUAUAAAAAUCAAAUAGGAUUCGGGACCCUAGUAGUUUAUACAGUAAACAAUGGUAAUUAUUAAUAUUAAUUAUCCGCUUAGGUAGUAUAACCGCAAGGUUGAAAUUUAACAGAAUUGGCGGGAAUUUAAUUUAACGGUGGAGCAUGUGGUUUAAUACGAUAAUCCACGUAAAAUCUUACCAGUGUGUUUGUUUAUUUAAUUUUUUUUUAUUAGGAAAGUUAUUAUAAACGUGUAGUAUUGCAUGGCUGUCGUCAGCUCGUGUUGUGAAAUGUAAAAUUAAGUUUUUUAACGAGUAAAAUCCCUAGUAUUUUUAUAAUUAUGAAUUUUUAUUUGUAUUUAAAAAUACUCUUAUAUUUAGGGUUGAAGUCAAGUCGGUAUGAUCUUUGAAUGCUGGGCUAUACACGUGUUACAAUGCUAAUUACAAAAAAUGGUUUUUUUGUGAAAAUAUACUAUAUUUUAAAAAUUAGCAAAGUUCAGAUUAUUUUUUGUAACUCAAAAGUAUGAAGAUGAAAUCGUUAGUAAUUGUAAAUAAUUAUGUUACAGUGAAUUAUCAAAUUAAAUUUUGUACACACUGCCCAUCACGCUCGAAAAACAAAUUUAAUUUUUUUUUAUUAGAUAAACACAAAAGCUAACUGACGUUUUUGAACGUUUUUGUUUAUUUAGUAUUAAUGAUAUUUUUUGUAAUUUGAGUG